Molecule: ribosomal RNA, 2190 nt
Filed under: Escherichia coli
Lineage: Bacteria; Pseudomonadati; Pseudomonadota; Gammaproteobacteria; Enterobacterales; Enterobacteriaceae
Description: partial 23S ribosomal RNA
Rfam family: Bacterial large subunit ribosomal RNA
Source: RNAcentral
GGUUAAGCGACUAAGCGUACACGGUGGAUGCCCUGGCAGUCAGAGGCGAUGAAGGACGUGCUAAUCUGCGAUAAGCGUCGGUAAGGUGAUAUGAACCGUUAUAACCGGCGAUUUCCGAAUGGGGAAACCCAGUGUGUUUCGACACACUAUCAUUAACUGAAUCCAUAGGUUAAUGAGGCGAACCGGGGGAACUGAAACAUCUAAGUACCCCGAGGAAAAGAAAUCAACCGAGAUUCCCCCAGUAGCGGCGAGCGAACGGGGAGCAGCCCAGAGCCUGAAUCAGUGUGUGUGUUAGUGGAAGCGUCUGGAAAGGCGCGCGAUACAGGGUGACAGCCCCGUACACAAAAAUGCACAUACUGUGAGCUCGAUGAGUAGGGCGGGACACGUGGUAUCCUGUCUGAAUAUGGGGGGACCAUCCUCCAAGGCUAAAUACUCCUGACUGACCGAUAGUGAACCAGUACCGUGAGGGAAAGGCGAAAAGAACCCCGGCGAGGGGAGUGAAAAAGAACCUGAAACCGUGUACGUACAAGCAGUGGGAGCACGCUUCGGCGUGUGACUGCGUACCUUUUGUAUAAUGGGUCAGCGACUUAUAUUCUGUAGCAAGGUUAACCGAAUAGGGGAGCCGAAGGGAAACCGAGUCUUAACUGGGCGUUAAGUUGCAGGGUAUAGACCCGAAACCCGGUGAUCUAGCCAUGGGCAGGUUGAAGGUUGGGUAACACUAACUGGAGGACCGAACCGACUAAUGUUGAAAAAUUAGCGGAUGACUUGUGGCUGGGGGUGAAAGGCCAAUCAAACCGGGAGAUAGCUGGUUCUCCCCGAAAGCUAUUUAGGUAGCGCCUCGUGAAUUCAUCUCCGGGGGUAGAGCACUGUUUCGGCAAGGGGGUCAUCCCGACUUACCAACCCGAUGCAAACUGCGAAUACCGGAGAAUGUUAUCACGGGAGACACACGGCGGGUGCUAACGUCCGUCGUGAAGAGGGAAACAACCCAGACCGCCAGCUAAGGUCCCAAAGUCAUGGUUAAGUGGGAAACGAUGUGGGAAGGCCCAGACAGCCAGGAUGUUGGCUUAGAAGCAGCCAUCAUUUAAAGAAAGCGUAAUAGCUCACUGGUCGAGUCGGCCUGCGCGGAAGAUGUAACGGGGCUAAACCAUGCACCGAAGCUGCGGCAGCGACACUAUGUGUUGUUGGGUAGGGGAGCGUUCUGUAAGCCUGUGAAGGUGUACUGUGAGGUAUGCUGGAGGUAUCAGAAGUGCGAAUGCUGACAUAAGUAACGAUAAAGCGGGUGAAAAGCCCGCUCGCCGGAAGACCAAGGGUUCCUGUCCAACGUUAAUCGGGGCAGGGUGAGUCGACCCCUAAGGCGAGGCCGAAAGGCGUAGUCGAUGGGAAACAGGUUAAUAUUCCUGUACUUGGUGUUACUGCGAAGGGGGGACGGAGAAGGCUAUGUUGGCCGGGCGACGGUUGUCCCGGUUUAAGCGUGUAGGCUGGUUUUCCAGGCAAAUCCGGAAAAUCAAGGCUGAGGCGUGAUGACGAGGCACUACGGUGCUGAAGCAACAAAUGCCCUGCUUCCAGGAAAAGCCUCUAAGCAUCAGGUAACAUCAAAUCGUACCCCAAACCGACACAGGUGGUCAGGUAGAGAAUACCAAGGCGCUUGAGAGAACUCGGGUGAAGGAACUAGGCAAAAUGGUGCCGUAACUUCGGGAGAAGGCACGCUGAUAUGUAGGUGAAGUCCCUCGCGGAUGGAGCUGAAAUCAGUCGAAGAUACCAGCUGGCUGCAACUGUUUAUUAAAAACACAGCACUGUGCAAACACGAAAGUGGACGUAUACGGUGUGACGCCUGCCCGGUGCCGGAAGGUUAAUUGAUGGGGUUAGCGGUAACGCGAAGCUCUUGAUCGAAGCCCCGGUAAACGGCGGCCGUAACUAUAACGGUCCUAAGGUAGCGAAAUUCCUUGUCGGGUAAGUUCCGACCUGCACGAAUGGCGUAAUGAUGGCCAGGCUGUCUCCACCCGAGACUCAGUGAAAUUGAACUCGCUGUGAAGAUGCAGUGUACCCGCGGCAAGACGGAAAGACCCCGUGAACCUUUACUAUAGCUUGACACUGAACAUUGAGCCUUGAUGUGUAGGAUAGGUGGGAGGCUUUGAAGUGUGGACGCCAGUCUGCAUGGAGCCGACCUUGAAAUACCACCCUUUAAUGUUU